UACGUAGGGGGCAAGCGUUAUCCGGAUUUACUGGGUGUAAAGGGAGCGUAGACGGCGCUGCAAGUCCGGAGUGAAAGCCCAUGGCUUAACCAUGGUACUGCUCUGGAAACUGUGGAGCUUGAGUGCGGGAGGGGCAGGCGGAAUUCCUAGUGUAGCGGUGAAAUGCGUAGAUAUUAGGAGGAACACCAGUGGCGAAGGCGGCCUACUGGACGGUGACUGACGCUGAGGCUCGAAAGCGUGGGGAGCAAACAGG
Molecule: ribosomal RNA, 253 nt
Filed under: uncultured bacterium
Lineage: Bacteria
Description: partial 16S ribosomal RNA
Rfam family: Bacterial small subunit ribosomal RNA
Source: RNAcentral